AUUGAACGCUGGCGGCAGGCCUAACACAUGCAAGUCGAGCGGAUGAGAGGAGCUUGCUCCUUGAUUCAGCGGCGGACGGGUGAGUAAUGCCUAGGAAUCUGCCUGGUAGUGGGGGAUAACGUUCCGAAAGGAACGCUAAUACCGCAUACGUCCUACGGGAGAAAGCAGGGGACCUUCGGGCCUUGCGCUAUCAGAUGAGCCUAGGUCGGAUUAGCUAGUUGGUGAGGUAAUGGCUCACCAAGGCGACGAUCCGUAACUGGUUUGAGAGGAUGCUCAGUCACACUGGAAAGGAGACACGGUCCAGACUCCUACGGGAGGCAGCAGUGGGGAAUAUUGGACAAUGGGCGAAAGCCUGAUCCAGCCAUGCCGCGUGUGUGAAGAAGGUCUUCGGAUUGUAAAGCACUUUAAGUUGGGAGGAAGGGCAGUAAGUUAAUACCUUGCUGUUUUGACGUUACCAACAGAAUAAGCACCGGCUAACUUCGUGCCAGCCGCCGCGGUAA
Molecule: ribosomal RNA, 500 nt
Filed under: uncultured bacterium
Lineage: Bacteria
Description: partial 16S ribosomal RNA
Rfam family: Bacterial small subunit ribosomal RNA
Source: RNAcentral